GGCUGGGUAGCUCAGUUGGCAGAGCAGUGGACUGAAAAUCCACGUGUCGGCGGUUCGAUUCCGCCCCCAGCCACCU
RNAcentral lists this transfer RNA (76 nucleotides) under Verrucomicrobiota bacterium. RNAcentral describes it as "Verrucomicrobia bacterium tRNA-Phe". It matches the Rfam family "tRNA". From Rfam's summary of the family: Transfer RNA (tRNA) molecules are approximately 80 nucleotides in length. Their secondary structure includes four short double-helical elements and three loops (D, anti-codon, and T loops). Lineage: Bacteria; Pseudomonadati; Verrucomicrobiota. The record is from RNAcentral.